CUUGAUCGAACCGACCCACACCGGCUUGUCCGCCUCGCGCUCCCGGCCGUACGUGGCGAGGAUCGCGUGUGCCUC
This 75-nucleotide antisense RNA is filed under the name Lentzea jiangxiensis. RNAcentral describes it as "ASpks TB sRNA". It matches the Rfam family "ASpks TB sRNA". The record is from RNAcentral. Lineage: Bacteria; Bacillati; Actinomycetota; Actinomycetes; Pseudonocardiales; Pseudonocardiaceae.